This 110-nucleotide non-coding RNA is filed under the name Staphylococcus simiae. RNAcentral's name for it is "SAM-I sequence". It matches the Rfam family "SAM riboswitch aptamer (S box leader)". From Rfam's summary of the family: The SAM riboswitch is found upstream of a number of genes which code for proteins involved in methionine or cysteine biosynthesis in Gram-positive bacteria. The SAM riboswitch acts at the level of transcription termination control. The record is from RNAcentral. Lineage: Bacteria; Bacillati; Bacillota; Bacilli; Caryophanales; Staphylococcaceae.
CUCUUAUCAAGAGAGGCUGAGGGACGUGCCCUAUGAAGCCCAGCAACCGUCUUACCAAAGACAUGGUGCUAAAUCACAAUAAAGUAGCUGACUACUUUUGAAGAUGAGAG